This 495-nucleotide ribosomal RNA is filed under the name uncultured bacterium. Its description in RNAcentral is "partial 16S ribosomal RNA". It matches the Rfam family "Bacterial small subunit ribosomal RNA", at positions 28 to 507 of the family's 1533-position model. The record is from RNAcentral.
GACGAACGCUGGCGGCGUGCCUAAUACAUGCAAGUCGAACGCUGAAGGAGGAGCUUGCUUCUCUGGAUGAGUUGCGAACGGGUGAGUAACGCGUAGGUAACCUGCCUGGUAGCGGGGGAUAACUAUUGGAAACGAUAGCUAAUACCGCAUAAGAGUAGAUGUUGCAUGACAUUUGCUUAAAAGGUGCAAUUGCAUCACUACCAGAUGGACCUGCGUUGUAUUAGCUAGUUGGGGGGGUAACGGCUCACCAAGGCGACGAUACAUAGCCGACCUGAGAGGGUGAUCGGCCAAACUGGGACUGAGACACGGCCCAGACUCCUACGGGAGGCAGCAGUAGGGAAUCUUCGGCAAUGGACGGAAGUCUGACCGAGCAACGCCGCGUGAGUGAAGAAGGGUUUCGGAUCGUAAAGCUCUGUUGUAAGAGAAGAAAGAGUGUGAGAGUGGAAAGUUCACACUGUGACGGUAUCUUACCAGAAAGGGACGGCUAACUACGUG